RNAcentral lists this ribosomal RNA (502 nucleotides) under uncultured bacterium. RNAcentral's name for it is "bacterial SSU rRNA". It matches the Rfam family "Bacterial small subunit ribosomal RNA", at positions 27 to 518 of the family's 1533-position model. The record is from RNAcentral.
GAACGAACGCUGGCGGCGCGUCUUAAGCAUGCAAGUCGAACGGCAAGAGGUAGCAAUACCUCCUAGAGUGGCGGACUGGUGAGUAACACGUGGGUGACAUACCCUUCAGAUGGGGAUAGCUAUUAGAAAUAGUAGAUAAUACCGAAUACGAGCACAGGGGUUAGAGAUCUGUGAGGAAAGGAGCUAAGGCUCCGCUGAAGGAAUGGCCUGCGGCCCAUUAGCUAGUUGGUGAGGUAAGAGCCCACCAAGGCGAUGAUGGGUAUCCGGCCUUAGAGGGUGAACGGACACAUUGGGACUGAGAUACGGCCCAGACUCCUACGGGAGGCAGCAGCUAAGAAUAUUCCGCAAUGGACGAAAGUCUGACGGAGCGACGCCGCGUGGAUGAAGAAGGCCGGAAGGUUGUAAAAUCCUUUUGAAACUGAAGAAUAAGCGUUGUAGGGAAUGACAGCGUGGUGACAGUAGGUUUUGAAUAAGCAACGGCUAAUUACGUGCCAGCCGCUGC